RNAcentral lists this ribosomal RNA (480 nucleotides) under Nocardia sp. 10-048. Its description in RNAcentral is "bacterial SSU rRNA". It matches the Rfam family "Bacterial small subunit ribosomal RNA", at positions 28 to 525 of the family's 1533-position model. Lineage: Bacteria; Bacillati; Actinomycetota; Actinomycetes; Mycobacteriales; Nocardiaceae. The record is from RNAcentral.
GACGAACGCUGGCGGCGUGCUUAACACAUGCAAGUCGAGCGGUAAGGCCCUUCGGGGUACACGAGCGGCGAACGGGUGAGUAACACGUGGGUGAUCUGCCCUGUACUUCGGGAUAAGCCUGGGAAACUGGGUCUAAUACCGGAUAUGACCUUACAUCGCAUGGUGUUUGGUGGAAAGAUUUAUCGGUACAGGAUGGGCCCGCGGCCUAUCAGCUUGUUGGUGGGGUAAUGGCCUACCAAGGCGACGACGGGUAGCCGGCCUGAGAGGGCGACCGGCCACACUGGGACUGAGACACGGCCCAGACUCCUACGGGAGGCAGCAGUGGGGAAUAUUGCACAAUGGGCGAAAGCCUGAUGCAGCGACGCCGCGUGAGGGAUGACGGCCUUCGGGUUGUAAACCUCUUUCGACAGGGACGAAGCGCAAGUGACGGUACCUGUAGAAGAAGCACCGGCCAACUACGUGCCAGCAGCCGCGGUAAUA